GGAGAAGGUUUGUUUGCCCCCAAAUGGUGCCUCUAUCCCUGGGUGGUGAAGCCUGUGUCCCUCUUGAUAUUGCUGUAAUUUUCUUCUUGUGAAUUAAGGGUUUCUUCAGUGGAGGAAUUUAUUUGCCAUUCAUAUAUCCCUGUUCAGUAAAAAAAAAAAAAACCUCUUCUUCAUUUAACUCCUUGCUUGCACCCCCUUACGUACUUUACCCUCUACCUGGUGAGAACAGCUGAUUCUUACCAGUUUGAGCCAAUAUCACCUACUGGUGGUGAGUGCCAAGCUUGCCCCUUCCCACUUUUUUUCUUCCCUACCUGUCUCUCUUGAAACUCUUUCCUUACUCUGGAAAUCCAUGGGAAUAAUUAAGUGUUUGCAACUGUUUUCUACAGAGCCAGUUUCCUCAGAGAGCUGAUUAAAGGUGAAUAGGAGAGAAGCUCAUUUCAUCCACGUUUUUAUCUCCUCCCAAGGCAUCGCAAUUUGCCAGGAGAACGAGAAAAUCCUGGAUUCUGUGGGGUCGAGGAAACUUCUCUAAUCUCCCUCGUUAAACAGAAGCGGCAGCUCUCACUGUGUUGAUAAGGGUGUUUUGCCAGGGUGAGCUACCAGCCCUACAGCAUCCUGGCUCUCUUGAAGGUCACCCAGUGCUCAUCCUGUCUCAGUGUCCUGACAGCACCCACUGUGACAUUACCAGGGAGCCCACGUGAGCCACCUCCAUGCUAGCAGGGGGAGUGGGAGCUACGGAGUGUGACGCAAAGGGCCUGGAAACCACCCCGAGAGAGAAGGAUGCUCAAGCCCCCACCUUCGUGGGAUGCAGGAGCUUCGGCAUCUCGCAGAGCUUCCUGCCCGCAGCCUGUGCCCAGGCUCUGAGAAGUGAACUGGGCACUGAAUCAGACGUAAAUGGCCUUUGACACAAAGAUGAAUCCAUGGUGGCACCUGAUCCUAUGGGUCUUCCACCCUGACCAGGAGCUGGUGUCCUCUCCCCAGUGAGAGCUGGUCCUGCUCCCCAUCACAUUGGCCAGAGGCUCCUUGGCCCACAGAGGAUGGAAGGAUGUGCUGUAAGAAUCUUUUAUCCUUCUCCCAGCUUUUCUUUAAGGAAUUAUUUGUGUUCAGACCUGCCAUGUGUAGCCACCCUGCAGCCAUGGCUUGCUCCAGGUGAAAUCCAUCUCACCUGUUCCCCUGUCCUCCAGCUCCAGGUUGCU
This is a long non-coding RNA of Columba livia (rock pigeon), 1193 nucleotides long. RefSeq lists it as uncharacterized. The transcript is spliced from 3 exons. The record is from RefSeq and is a predicted model, not a curated record. Lineage: Eukaryota; Metazoa; Chordata; Aves; Columbiformes; Columbidae.